This 463-nucleotide ribosomal RNA is filed under the name uncultured bacterium. Its description in RNAcentral is "partial 16S ribosomal RNA". It matches the Rfam family "Bacterial small subunit ribosomal RNA", at positions 32 to 523 of the family's 1533-position model. The record is from RNAcentral.
AAUCAACGCUGGCGGCGUGCCUAACACAUGCAAGUCGCACAAGAAAGGGUCUUCGGAUCUGAGUAAAGUGGCGCACGGGUGAGUAACACGUGAAUUAUCUACCUUCGAGUGGGGAAUCACUUCGGGAAACCGAGGCUAAUACCGCAUAAUAUCUACGGAUCAAAGCAGUAAUGCGCUUGAAGAGGAGUUCGCGGCAGAUUAGUUAGUUGGCGGGGUAAUGGCCCACCAAGACGAUGAUCUGUAUUCGGCCUGAGAGGGAGCACGGACACACUGGAACUGAAACACGGUCCAGACUCCUACGGGAGGCAGCAGUGGGGAAUUUUGCGCAAUGGGGGAAACCCUGACGCAGCAACGCCGCGUGGAGGAUGAAGUCUCUUGGGACGUAAACUCCUUUCGAUAGGGAAGAUUAUGACGGUACCUAUAGAAGAAGCCCCGGCUAACUUCGUGCCAGCAGCCGCGGUAA